This 301-nucleotide ribosomal RNA is filed under the name uncultured bacterium. RNAcentral's name for it is "partial 16S ribosomal RNA". It matches the Rfam family "Bacterial small subunit ribosomal RNA", at positions 509 to 807 of the family's 1533-position model. The record is from RNAcentral.
CAGCCGCCGCGGGAAUACGAAGGGGGCUAGCGUUGCUCGGAAUUACUGGGCGUAAAGGGAGCGUAGGCGGACAUUUAAGUCAGGGGUGAAAUCCCAGAGCUCAACUCUGGAACUGCCCUUGAUACUGGGUGUCUUGAGUGUGAUAGAGGUAUGUGGAACUCCGAGUGUAGAGGUGAAAUUCGUAGAUAUUCGGAAGAACACCAGUGGCGAAGGCGACAUACUGGAUCAUUACUGACGCUGAGGCUCGAAAGCGUGGGGAGCAAACAGGAUUAGAUACCCGCGUAGUCCCUGUCUCUUAUAC